AACGAACGCUGGCGGCAUGCCUAACACAUGCAAGUCGAACGAGACCUUCGGGUCUAGUGGCGCACGGGUGCGUAACGCGUGGGAACCUGCCCUUAGGUUCGGACUAACUCCCCGAAAGGGGUGCUAAUACCGGAUAAUGUCUUCGGACCAAAGAUUUAUCGCCUUUGGAUGGGCCCGCGUUGGAUUAGCUAGUUGGUAGGGUAAAAGCCUACCAAGGCGACGAUGCAUAGCUGGUCUGAGAGGGUGAUCAGCCACGCUGGGACUGAGACACGGCCCAGACUCCGAGGGGGAGGAGCCGUGGGGACUCUUCCGCGAUGGGCGAGGGCGUGACGGAGCGACGCCUCGUGAGUGAUGAAGGUCUUCUGCUCGGAGAACUCUGUUAGUAGGGAGGAACAAAUGUGUACGUAACUCUGCGCGUCUUGACGGUACCUAAUCAGAAGGCCACGGCUAGCUACGUG
Molecule: ribosomal RNA, 458 nt
Filed under: uncultured bacterium
Lineage: Bacteria
Description: partial 16S ribosomal RNA
Rfam family: Bacterial small subunit ribosomal RNA
Source: RNAcentral